GAGGCAGAUUCUUGAAGUAACUGAGCACUGAAUAGAAGAGUCCUAUGUUGUAAUCAAAGGCUAAAGUGACCUUUCUCCUGGGCAAAAACAAUGGUGUUUGCAACUGCUGUUAAUGAGGAACAUUCAUGGUGACUAGUAGCAAUGCUACUGAUGCUCAGCUACAACCUGACAAAGCACUCUCUUCACUACAUGUCACAUGCUAAUUUCAUGUAGUCAGCUGUGCGGAGUGCUCUGAUCAGAUGUGAGGUCAGGGAGAAAGGAUGCAGGCUUUGGCCUAUGACAAGGAAUAGAAGCUGCCAGCGGCCCUUUGGGCAGCUUGUCCUGCUUGCUAUGCAAAAAAACUUAGCUGGUUGGAGGCUACAGUGUUAGCAACAAUGACCUCUGAAGCGCCUGAAUAACAGUCAUCUUCAAUGAAGAUAAGUUCAUUCAAGAACUCUUCUUUUUAACUAGUCAACUUGUAAGUCAGGAGAGUUCCAACUGAGAAGUUGUGCUCUUACAGAUAGGUAAAGCUGAAGCAACCUUCUCUUGGACUUAACAAGAGCCCUUAUGCAUGUAGAAUUUGUUCCAAACUAGCUUCAGGAAGCUCUUAGGAUGAGCAUCAGCUUCCUCAUGUGACUUGGAGAACAAGUGAAGCAUUUAUGGUUCAAGCUGAGCCUUGACUAUUAUACUUGGACAGCUGGUACUUGUAAUGCCUUGGUGAUCAAGUUAAGCUGAAUCUGGAAUAGUCUGUCACCACCUCUCCAUCAUCAGCCUUUUUGAGAGCAUAGAUGAGGCAGUGGUGUUACAGAUGAAUUGUCUGAGUAUAUUUAAUGUAUAUACCUGUGCAGAGAAUAGGUCACUGGGAAUGUAAUUGAAGUAAUAACAGCUGCAGCAUCAACCUAGCAGAAGCAAUUUCACCAGACUAGACAUAGUAGAAGCUAGCACACCUUCCAGGUAGCUGGUCCCCAGACUAGGGAUCGUUCAGUAGAUUGUUAUAUGAGCAAACAGUCCUACUAGAAUGAAUUUUCAUCACAACUUCCAUGAAGGCAUAGUUUUCUCAUUUGGUUUAUUCUGUUUUCUAAAAGCUGAUCUGCCUGAAUUCAUUUAACAGACUAUCAGCUGUUUGGCCUUGCAGUGGGGGCACCUUACUGAUUUUAUGUUUUGGAAUGACUUCAGAGCAUGUUCAGCAGUAAUGAUGGUAGUGCUCUGGGUGUAUAGAGGCAUAAGUUGAUAUAUGGAAAAUGCUGGAUGUCUGCUGAAGCAUCAGAUAGGGUGAGGAAAGUUUCUUUAAAGCUUGCUGAUUUGUAUCAUUUUGAUCGUUCUUGAGCAAAAGUAGCAGAGUCUCAACCUCUAAACUAUAUUUAACCCAGUGGUCAUAAACACUUACAGAAACCAUAGCAUAAUUCUCUUAGCAAUGUUUGCAAUGACUGUCUUCCCACAACUGUUGCAAAGCUUGCAGCUGGGAUGGGUGAACUAGAAUUUCAAGCUCUUUCCUGAAGGCACACUACGUGUAAUUCUGUUUUGCAGAUCUGGUUGGAAGAAUUGGAUUUUGACCAUGUAGCAGGACAGGAGGAGGCCUGGCUGGGGUUAUGAAUACGUUUGUAAGAUCUGUUCUUACAUUCUUUAGAGGGAGUCUACUGUCAGCCUUGGUUUCAGCCAAUUUAGAGUAAUGUGAGCAAAUUGUGUUUAAGAGAACAACUAAAUGCUAGUAGUAACUCUCGUCUCCAGAAGAAAAAGCGAUUUGAAGGCACCUCUCUGUAGGUUCUCUAGGAUCACAUUGUAGCAUCUGUAACAUCUUUCAGAAAGAUGGCAGUUACUAAGCUCAGGUUCAUGAUAGAUACUUACAUAACCAAAUGCAGGCAAAAUCCUAUCACCAGGCGUUUUGUUUCGUGCCUUAGAAUGUCAAGCCUUUCUCAUUAUUAUAUAAGCCCACACAAGGCAGGGGAACAGUAUACAACAAAAGCUAGGGUAAGCACGCAUAAGGAGACGAUUACUUUGCAAUGAGAACCACCAAAAGAGUUAAGAACGAUAUUAGCAGUCUGAGUGUGUUGCCUUGGCCGUACAUUUGCUCUGGUGGUCAUGCUCUAGACCCUCAUUGAUGACUCCCAGGUAAAAACUUGCAUUUCAGGUCUUUUGUUGAUGCUGUUGUGUCAGCAGAUUUCUCACAUGAUUCAGUGCAUUAGGAAAGUUAUGGAUCUUUCAGUCCCUUUCUUUCAUUUACUGCUAGCAGAGUGCAGUCUUUGCCAGGGCAUGAGAAGACACUCAUUGCAAACAUUGCUAGGAGAGAAUUAUGCUGUAGUUUCCUUAAAUGUUUAUGACCACUGGGCAAGCAUAGUUGAUUUUAUAGCUGGUUUAGAAGAGGAGAACAGGCAGCCCCAGACCAUGAAAGGACGGGCUCUAGAGUGCCUGAUUCAAAAGAAGUGGUGUCUACUGGCACAUAAAUAGUUUUCUCUAGUGUGGCAGAUUGUGUGCCUGUGAUCGUGCACUGCAGAGUGAGUCAGCCCUGCAGAGAAAGGAGCAGGAUGGCUCUGCAGCAGCAGCAGAGGAUACAUGUCCAUUAGCAGUCGGUUCAGGCUAGGUAAGGUCAGGAGAUGCCUGCUGCCAGAUGCUCCUUGCAUAGACAAUGCCUUCAUAGAGCUUGCUGACCUUUCUCUUAUUUAAAUCUUGUACUUGCUUUUUUUUUUCUUCAAAGGCUGCAGCAUUUUGUUUUGGGGUAGGGGGUUACUGCUCUGUUGGAAGAAGCACAUCUGUGAAGUCUGGUCAGUGACUGCUUUCUAGGACUGCUUUAGUAAAUUCAGAUACGUAUUUAAAUGAACUGCAAUAAGAUAACUCCUGUUCAGAGAAACGCCUAUUCCUCUCCCAUAGGUACCAAGGGAACCCUGUGUUUGAUGCAUUACUGGAGAUGGGGAAUGAACACCGCUGACCAGAAAAGUAUAACUCUUGGUGAGAAAAGCCUAGCAGCUGGGGUGAAAGAAGGAGCAAGCCAAGCAAUAAGAGCUGCAGAAAGCUGUAUGAAUGAGGAGAAAGCUGGACUUGUGGUUCAAGAUCUGGGUCCAGUUUCCAGCAUUAUUCCAGUUCCCUUGUGUGAUGUUGAACAGACUCUCUGUUGCAGUUCUGCACUGUGAAGUGGAGUGUGAUUCAUCAGAGGAGCUCACAUCAGCAACCUGCCUAGACACAGUCCGUGACUUUCUCUGCGUUACUGUGGGACACGGAAUUAGAUAAACGUGAGAAUGAGAAUCAUCAGAACCGCUGGAGAGAAAAAGGCAGGAGGACUAGUUGACAGAACACAGAAUUGCUUGUUCUGUGCUCUCUUCCACAAGAGAGCAAUUCUGUGUUCUCUUCCACAUGCUUCUGACUGGUCAAGUGACCUUAGGGAGCCUGGCUAAAGCAACACUGAAAAAUAACAUUAAAAAGAAUUAAUGACUUA
Long non-coding RNA from Struthio camelus australis, 3406 nucleotides. RefSeq lists it as uncharacterized. Lineage: Eukaryota; Metazoa; Chordata; Aves; Struthioniformes; Struthionidae. The record is from RefSeq and is a predicted model, not a curated record.